Molecule: long non-coding RNA, 3370 nt
Organism: Oncorhynchus tshawytscha (Chinook salmon)
Lineage: Eukaryota; Metazoa; Chordata; Actinopteri; Salmoniformes; Salmonidae
Source: Ensembl
ACCUGAGCCGGAGCGCCGCCAUCAUCAGCGACUCAGACGAGCUCACCAAAGCGAGACCGAGCCCCGCCUUGGGAGGCAACCGAUGAAGACCACCCGUCAAUUACUGUGCUUCAGUCAGUCGAGGUGAAAUAUGUCAGUGAUGCUGUGCAACAAAUUGAAAAUGCUUGCAUGGUCAGGUGCACUUGCAAGUCCAACGAAGGGUAGCCCUGCUAUUUGCUUUUUACCCCCAAGGAGAUGAGACGUGACAAGAUGAAUUAACUCACCAAUGGUACUGUAAGUGCUUGUCAUUCAAUUAUUAUUCCAUUUUUGUUGGCUGUGUGUGUGUUUCUGUGUCUGUCUAACGUUAUCUGUCAGUGUCUGUGUGAUGAGGCACAAGUAUACUGACUAGCUGGCUAGUUUAUUAAAGCCAAGUGUGUGUGAGUGAGUGAGUGGCAUUAGAGGGAGAUAAGUGGAGGAUGUGUAGCUAACUACUCUAUGUGGCUAGUAACUUAUGGGACCUGUGUGUGUGUGUGUAAUUGAUUGAUAAUGGAAGGCCGUUUGGAUAUUUGCGUGUCUAAAAUACACGUCAAAUAACACUAUUUGACGCGUUAAAUAAGCUUUUAAUUUGAUGCGUCAAAUAACACAGUUCUAUUAUAGAAUGUUGUGUGUGAUGAAUUUGCACGUGCAAGCCAAGCGCCACCACUACUAUCAGUAGCAUUGUCAAAGCUGUACAAAAAAGUCUGCAAACAAGCAAACACCGGCCACGAACGAUUUGUUUACAAUGCCGCGUUGGUAAUAAAGCAUUAUUUGCUCGACGGCAACUUCAACUUCUGGGGUAGCUAGCUAGCUUUAGCUUGGUACCUUGCUAGUGUAACAGUAUAACUUUAGACCGUCCCCUCGCCCAUACCCGGGCGCGAACCAGGAACCCUCUGCACACAUCAAAAGCAAGGGGAACCACUACUUCAAGGUCUCAGAGCAAGUGACGUCACCGAUUGAACCACCAUUUAGCGCGCACCACCGCUAACCGGCUAGCCGUUUCACAUCCGUUACACUAGCACCAAUACAACCAGACUGAAAAUAAUGACCAUUAUUUUCAUUAUUCUUAGCAAUGAUUUAGGAAUCAUUGUGAGCAAGUAUUAGCUUGGUAAACACUUGUUGUUCGCCUAUUGUAAUUGAACUUCAGUUCAUGGAAAUACAUAUCUAGCCAGCUACUUAACCCUGUUGCCCAAAGCUAACGUUAUAAGCAGCCAGCUAGCUUCUUCUGGCAAAUGAGGCAGUGUUGCUAACUCCUCAGUAAGGAAAGUAGCUACUGGCUGUCCUAAAAGUCGCCAGAAGUCGCUAAAUGACAUAAUCACCUAAUCUGUAUAAAUCGGCCAUGUGCAUGUAAUUGUGAUGGACGCUGUAGGAGAGGCGAAUAACGUCGUGGGAGAGACAAAAAUGCGGGAUCAGCCAGCGGCGGCUUCCCGCAUGCGCGAUUCAUUUGCAGUCUGGACGCGGAUGGGUGAACAUCUCCUGCUCUGACUACAGCUGGGAGGGACUGCUGUGCGAGGACUGGGCCGCCUGUGAGUGCUUGGGGACUGGGGUGGGGCCCACGGCAGCACCCGCUGCUCGUUGAGAAGAAUGAAAAACAUCUAGUGCUCAUUGGACAGAUCACUGGUUCCAUGAACCUCUCCAAGGAAACUGUCAUCUCAAAGGAGCAAACAAGCAGAAAGGAGACAUCAGAUGAGGUCAUAUUUCCUUGAUUGCCAGCAGAUCUGAAGACUCAUAAGUUCUUUAGAGUAAUACAACUUGAUGUUUUCUGUUAUUUUGGGGCUGCAACAGUAUUACAAGUGCUUCCCAAACAGUUCGCGUUGCCCUUCUGCUAUAGGACAACACCCAUGACGUAUUUAUUCCAAACAUCUGUCAGCACAAAGAUUCAAGUCACUACCAGCCAUCAGGAUUUAAAACUGCUUUCAGAGGGCAUAACCACCUCAAGCUUGCUUUCAAAAUAAACAAUUCGCAACAGAAACUGAACAUCUGUUCAGGAAGUCAUAUCUAGGCUACUUCCCCAUUUCACAUUACAAAACAUUUCCCAAUUAUUGAACUAUGCAAUGAAAAUUGACUCAAUCCUAGUAUUCAUAUAUCAAAUCUCAUUUUCACUUGGCUUUUGGAACAAUUAACAUGAAAAAUACAGAAAAGUUGAUUCGCCCCAGACAAAUGACGCAGCCGGUGGUUGAAGUUGAAUUGAACAGUAUAAAAAAAAAUCAUAAUGGAGAAAGACCCAUUGAAAUCACCUAGAAUAUAUGUUGUCACGCACUACUCAUAAAGCAAAUUUAAAAUUUGUAUUAUUUAAAAACAUAAAAUACUGUCUCAUACAGUCAUUAUUAUUUUUAAUACCGUGAUAAUAUUUUGGCCAUAUCGCCCAGCCCUACUUUUUACUAAGCUAACAGAACACACACUCCGCUGACACGCAACAGAAACAGAAAACACAUCAAACCACAUUUACAUCUAUUUACAGUUCAAUCAAACCAAGGACUUGGAGCAGAGUCCAGUGCUUCAUAGCAUCUCAGUGAGCUGUCAAUCAUUUAACCUGGGAAAUAAAGAAGGGAAAUGGAUCUAAGUCCUCAUACAGCAGCUUAGACAUAUAGGGGUCGUAUUCACUAGACACCAAAGAGAAGAACACGGAACAAAAACAAACCUGAACUUAGAAACUAGUUUUUGUUGCAAAACCGGUUUGCAUCAAUGAAUAUAACAGUGUCUGGAUGUCUACAAUGGCUUAUUGUACACUAUAUCAGUGUGCUCAUGAAACUGAUUAUUAUUCCAUUUCUGUUAGUCACAUGUCUGUGGAACUUGUUCAGUUUGUCUCAUUUGUUGAAUCUUGUUACAUUCAUACAAAUAUUUACACAUGUUAAGUUUGCUGAAAAUAAAUGCAGUUAACAGUGGGGGGACGUUUCUUUUUUUGCCGAGUUUAUAUUCCAAGCUUGUUAAAGCAACGGUAGGAGACAUAAAUAAACCAUCAAUCACAAGUGAGAAUCUGAUCCGCUCUGAAAAUUGUCUUAAGAUCUGAAAAAGAUACUGUGGCUAGCACUGCUGGAGCAGUAGCAGUCUGUGAUCUUAAUUAACAAUGUUGGUUGAUGACAAAAGGUAUUUUAAUAGCCUUUUGGUUUUUAUUGCUCUUUACAAUAUAUUAAAAUACUAUUGUUCACUGAUUUCAAAAUAAUAGAUGGAGCUCUAAGUCCCCCAAAAAUGUCACUACACCUCACCAGUGGAACAAGCCAAUUUGCAGCUAGCAAUGGAAUGCAUACCAAUACAUGUUUUGCAGUAUAAAGGAAUUAGCUACACAUGUUCUGAUUAAAUAACAGUUAAAUGAAAUGGAAAAUGUAUGUCAUUUUGUAGUGAUUUAAUAGUGAAG